GUCAGUAAACCUCCAAACACCCCUGACUAAUGGGUGACUAAAACUAGUUUAGUCCCUAGUCACCCCACCCCCAACUAAAAGUGACUAAAGUCUCUUCUCCAAUUAAUUGGCGGGCCCAUCCUGUUGCAGGCUCAUCCUCCCAUGCUGGCACACCAAUGGAAGGGAGAUAAAUGAGAAUAAUUUAAUACAGAGACAUUUAAUGCUGACUAGUAGUAGUCACCUUCCAAACAGGGUCUGACUAAAAACUUCUAGUCUGACUACUACUAGUCACAUGACUAGAGAGUAUCCAAACACCCUCUAAG
This 302-nucleotide long non-coding RNA is filed under the name Hordeum vulgare. RNAcentral describes it as "long non-coding RNA (HVUL_LNC010328)". The record is from RNAcentral. Lineage: Eukaryota; Viridiplantae; Streptophyta; Magnoliopsida; Poales; Poaceae.